RNAcentral lists this ribosomal RNA (381 nucleotides) under uncultured bacterium. RNAcentral describes it as "bacterial SSU rRNA". It matches the Rfam family "Bacterial small subunit ribosomal RNA", at positions 29 to 412 of the family's 1533-position model. The record is from RNAcentral.
AUUGAACGCUGGCGGAAUGCUUUACACAUGCAAGUCGAACGGCAGCACGGGGCAACCUGGUGGCGAGUGGCGAACGGGUGAGUAGUGCAUCGGAACAUGUCCAUGUCGUGGGGGAUAGCCCGGCGAAAGCCGGAUUAAUACCGCAUACGCUCGAGAGAGGAAAGCCGGGGACCGCAAGGCCUGGCGCGAUUGGGUUGGCCGAUGUCCGAUUAGCUAGUUGGUGAGGUAAAGGCUUACCAAGGCGAUGAUCGGUAGCUGGUCUGAGAGGAUGAUCAGCCACACUGGGACUGAGACACGGCCCAGACUCCUACGGGAGGCAGCAGUGGGGAAUUUUGGACAAUGGGGGCAACCCCGAUCCAGCCAUUCCGCGUGAGUGAAGAA